Molecule: transfer RNA, 72 nt
Filed under: Sandaracinus sp.
Lineage: Bacteria; Pseudomonadati; Myxococcota; Polyangiales; Sandaracinaceae
Also listed under: 1 other name
Description: tRNA-Thr
Rfam family: tRNA
About the family: Transfer RNA (tRNA) molecules are approximately 80 nucleotides in length.
Source: RNAcentral
GCUGGCGUAGCUCAACGGUAGAGCACCUGCCUUGUAAGCAGGGGGUUACGGGUUCAAAUCCCGUCGCCAGCU